CGGGCCCGCGAGUCUUGGCGCGCGGCGGGCCAGGGCCGGGGCGCCUACCUCUUGAGGCAGAGGCGCGAGGGCAGGUAAACUAGUAUUCUGCUUGUCAAGGCCUGGAGAUAGUCUCAUAAAUUCCUAGAAAUCCAAAUAUCCUGGGAAGCCUGGGGAACAACGCCUGCAUCCACCAGAGCAGCAAAGAGAAACAACAGGGAGCAGUACCCUUCAGGGUGGAAAAGAAUGCUGAAGACACUCUCUCCAAGGGGAGCUAUUUGAGGACUUUAUGAAUGGAGAAAGGAUUUCUAGGACUUGAGCCUUGAUGACCCAACAAUGAUUCCGAGAAAGAUGUUUCCAGCUUUGGAGACAGCCUAUUGCGUGUAAGAAGUCAGAAAUUCUCCUCAUGCAGCAAUGGUUGCACCAUGGGAGGUGUUCCCUACAGUUACUAUAAUGCUUCUAAGUGGAAAAGAUGUGUCAAAAGCUGGACCUGAAGGAAUUGUUUGGAAAAUGUAUUGCCAAGGUGAAAAUAAAAUGCCUGUUCAA
Non-coding RNA from Phascolarctos cinereus (koala), 525 nucleotides. The record is from RefSeq and is a predicted model, not a curated record. Lineage: Eukaryota; Metazoa; Chordata; Mammalia; Diprotodontia; Phascolarctidae.